AACGAACGCUGGCGGCGUGGAUAAGACAUGCAAGUCGAACGCUGAUUACGGGGGUAGCAAUAUUCCGUGGUUGGAGUGGCGCAAGGGUGCGUAACACGUGGGUAAUUUGCCGCGAAGCUUGGGAUAACUCGCUGAAAGGCGAGCUAAUACCGAAUGUGAUGUUUGGAUGGCAUCUUCCGAAUUUCAAAGCUGGGGACCGAAAGGCCUGGCGCUUCGCGAUAAGCCCGCGGCCAUCAGCUAGUUGGUGAGGUAACGGCUCACCAAGGCUAAGACGGGUAGCUGGUCUGAGAGGACGACCAGCCUCACUGGAACUGAGAUACGGUCCAGACACCUACGGGAGGCAGCAGUGGGAAUCUUGCGCAAUGGG
This 367-nucleotide ribosomal RNA is filed under the name uncultured bacterium. Its description in RNAcentral is "bacterial SSU rRNA". It matches the Rfam family "Bacterial small subunit ribosomal RNA", at positions 29 to 375 of the family's 1533-position model. The record is from RNAcentral.